GCCCAUACAAUAAUUAAAUGACUCAAAAGGUCCUAACCUAAACACAUAAUUUGUAAUGAUAAUUUUACCCCUAUGAACAAAACAGUACCCAUGAAUAGUACUUGGGAAUAGUAUUUAGUGAACAGUAAAUAAACAAUUUUUAAAAAAUAUUAGAAUCCCAAUAAAUUUAAAAACCCUAAAACUAAAAUCAAAAUAUACAUCUUUAAAAUUGUAUAAAAUUAAAAAUAAAAAUAAUUUUGUCCUGCAUCAUUCUCCCCUAGUUGGAGAAAACUCGAAGAAAACAAGCCACGCACUAGGAAAAUUUGAGAAAGCAGUAAAUCGGCAAAAAAGAAGCUAAACACAAGCACAAGUCGAAGAAACCUAUGGUUUCUUCCCCAUAUCCCAAGCUAGGGUUCUAAAAGCCUAAGCUUUUCUUUCAUUUUCAAUUUCUAAAACUCAUGUGGAAUGACCCCCUCAAGGCCACACACCUCUUAUAAAUUAUAAUUUAUUGCUCAAAGAUAUUAAUAUCCAUACAAUAAUUAAACUGACCAAAAAAGUCCCAACUUAAACAAAAAUUUCGUAAUAACAAUUUUAUCCCUAUGAAUGUAACCCGUGAACAGUACUCAUGAAUAGUACCUAUAAACAGUACCAUGAAUAGUAACCAGUCAAUACUAAAUAAAAAAUAUAAAAUAAUCCUAGAAUCCUUGAAACUUAAAAACCCUAAAAAUAAGCUCUAAAACUAAAAUCAAAAUGUACAUCCUUUGAAAUUGAAUAAAAAUUGAAAAUAAGAAUAAUUUUUUGCUUGCAUCACAUCAGUUCCUAAAGUAGCCUGGGGAAUUAUGGAUUGAGUGCCAUAUCCCAUCUACACUGAUUCGAGAUGAGUUCCAAUUAACUAAAUCUUCAUUCUUGA
This 889-nucleotide long non-coding RNA is filed under the name Amborella trichopoda. Its description in RNAcentral is "long non-coding RNA (ATRI_LNC002218)". Lineage: Eukaryota; Viridiplantae; Streptophyta; Magnoliopsida; Amborellales; Amborellaceae. The record is from RNAcentral.